Molecule: ribosomal RNA, 402 nt
Filed under: uncultured Taonella sp.
Lineage: Bacteria; Pseudomonadati; Pseudomonadota; Alphaproteobacteria; Rhodospirillales; Rhodospirillaceae
Description: bacterial SSU rRNA
Rfam family: Bacterial small subunit ribosomal RNA
Source: RNAcentral
UGGGGAAUAUUGGACAAUGGGGGCAACCCUGAUCCAGCCAUGCCGCGUGAGUGAUGAAGGCCUUAGGGUUGUAAAGCUCUUUCGCCGGGGAAGAUAAUGACGGUACCCGGAGAAGAAGCCUCGGCUAACUCCGUGCCAGCAGCCGCGGUAAGACGGAGGAGGCUAGCGUUGUUCGGAAUUACUGGGCGUAAAGCGUACGCAGGUGGCGGACCAAGUCGGAUGUGAAAGCCCGGGGCUCAACCCCGGAUGUGCAUCCGAUACUGUUCUGCUGGAGUCCGGAAGAGGAGAGCGGAAUUCCCAGUGUAGAGGUGAAAUUCGUAGAUAUUGGGAAGAACACCGGUGGCGAAGGCGGCUCUCUGGUCCGGUACUGACACUCAAGUACGAAAGCGUGGGGAGCAAACA